AGCGGUAGCACAGAGGAGCUUGCUCCUUGGGUGACGAGCGGCGGACGGGUGAGUAAUGUCUGGGAAACUGCCUGAUGGAGGGGGAUAACUACUGGAAACGGUAGCUAAUACCGCAUAACCUCGCAGGAGCAAAGAGGGGGACCUUAGGGCCUCUCGCCAUCAGAUGUGCCCAGAUGGGAUUAGCUAGUAGGUGAGGUAAUGGCUCACCUAGGCGACGAUCCCUAGCUGGUCUGAGAGGAUGACCAGCCACACUGGAACUGAGACACGGUCCAGACUCCUACGGGAGGCAGCAGUGGGGAAUAUUGCACAAUGGGCGCAAGCCUGAUGCAGCCAUGCCGCGUGUGUGAAGAAGGCCUUCGGGUUGUAAAGCACUUUCAGCGAGGAGGAAGGCGGUAAGGUUAAUAACCUUAUCGAUUGACGUUACUCGCAGAAGAAGCACCGGCUAACUCCGUGCCAGCAGCCGCGGUAAUACGGAGGGUGCAAGCGUUAAUCGGAAUGACUGGGCGUAAAGCGCACGCAGGCGGUCUGUUAAGUUGGAUGUGAAAUCCCCGGGCUUAACCUGGGAACUGCAUUCAAAACUGACAGGCUAGAGUCUUGUAGAGGGGGGUAGAAUUCCAGGUGUAGCGGUGAAAUGCGUAGAGAUCUGGAGGAAUACCGGUGGCGAAGGCGGCCCCCUGGACAAAGACUGACGCUCAGGUGCGAAAGCGUGUGGAGCAAACAGGAUUAGAUACCCUGGUAGUCCACGCUGUAAACGAUGUCGAUUUGGAGGUUGUGCCCUUGAGGCGUGGCUUCCGGAGCUAACGCGUUGAAUCGACCGCCUGGGGAGUACGGCCGCAAGGUUAAGACUCAAAU
Molecule: ribosomal RNA, 852 nt
Filed under: Pectobacterium carotovorum
Lineage: Bacteria; Pseudomonadati; Pseudomonadota; Gammaproteobacteria; Enterobacterales; Pectobacteriaceae
Description: bacterial SSU rRNA
Rfam family: Bacterial small subunit ribosomal RNA
Source: RNAcentral